Molecule: ribosomal RNA, 253 nt
Filed under: uncultured bacterium
Lineage: Bacteria
Description: partial 16S ribosomal RNA
Rfam family: Bacterial small subunit ribosomal RNA
Source: RNAcentral
UACGGAGGGCGCAAGCGUUUUUCGGAAUUACUGGGCGUAAAGCGCGUGUAGGCGGUCUGGUAAGUCGGUUGUGAAAUCCCCGGGCUCAACCCGGGAACUGCGACCGAAACUGCUGGGCUAGAGUUCCGGAGAGGAAGGCAGAAUUCCCAAUGUAGGGGUGAAAUCCGUAGAUAUUGGGAGGAAUACCAGUGGCGAAGGCGGCCUUCUGGACGGUGACUGACGCUGAGACGCGAAAGCGUGGGGAGCAAACAGG